UACAGAGGUCCCAAGCGUUGUUCGGAUUCAUUGGGCGUAAAGGGUGCGUAGGCGGCGCGGUAAGCCGGGUGUGAAAUCUCGGGGCUUAACUCCGAAACUGCAUUCGAUACUGCCGUGCUUGAGGACUGGAGAGGAGACUGGAAUUUACGGUGUAGCGGUGAAAUGCGUAGAUAUCGUAAGGAAGACCAGUGGCGAAGGCGGGUCUCUGGACAGUUCCUGACGCUGAGGCACGAAGGCCAGGGGAGCAAACGGG
RNAcentral lists this ribosomal RNA (253 nucleotides) under uncultured bacterium. Its description in RNAcentral is "partial 16S ribosomal RNA". It matches the Rfam family "Bacterial small subunit ribosomal RNA", at positions 524 to 776 of the family's 1533-position model. The record is from RNAcentral.